This 243-nucleotide long non-coding RNA is filed under the name Helianthus annuus (common sunflower). RNAcentral describes it as "sRNA HanXRQr2_Chr12g0552081". The record is from RNAcentral. Lineage: Eukaryota; Viridiplantae; Streptophyta; Magnoliopsida; Asterales; Asteraceae.
UCUUUUAACGUAUAAAAUGCUAGGUUAAACAUACUAACCUUGCACAUCAUCAUCAUAAAUACUGGAGCAGCAAGCUUGAAUAUUUGGAGAAGUUCAUUAGCAAUUAGCUGAUGAAAAAACGCCAUUGUUGCCCAUAUGCUGCUCUAGUGAUACCAUAGUCCAAGAAUAAGCAGAGGACCACAUCACCAAUGCCAUUGAUAAGACUUGCAAUUGCCAUUGCCUUCAAAGGUCCCCACGAAUCGU